Molecule: ribosomal RNA, 468 nt
Filed under: uncultured bacterium
Lineage: Bacteria
Description: partial 16S ribosomal RNA
Rfam family: Bacterial small subunit ribosomal RNA
Source: RNAcentral
GACGAACGCUGGCGGCGUGCUUAACACAUGCAAGUCGAACGGAAAGGCCCUGCUUUUGUGGGGUGCUCGAGUGGCGAACGGGUGAGUAACACGUGAGUAACCUGCCCUUGACUUUGGGAUAACUUCAGGAGACUGGGGCUAAUACCGGAUAGGAGCUCCUGCUGCAUGGAGGGGGUUGGAAAGUUUCGGCGGUUGGGGAUGGACUCGCGGCUUAUCAGCUUGUUGGUGGGGUAGUGGCUUACCAAGGCUUUGACGGGUAGCCGGCCUGAGAGGGUGACCGGCCACAUUGGGACUGAGAUACGGCCCAGACUCCUACGGGAGGCAGCAGUGGGGAAUAUUGCACAAUGGGCGGAAGCCUGAUGCAGCAACGCCGCGUGCGGGAUGACGGCCUUCGGGUUGUAAACCGCUUUCGCCUGUGACGAAGCGUGAGUGACGGCAAUGGGUAAAGAAGCACCGGCUAACUACGUG